Suricata suricatta (meerkat) is the source of this 505-nucleotide long non-coding RNA. RefSeq lists it as uncharacterized. The transcript has 3 exons. The record is from RefSeq and is a predicted model, not a curated record. NCBI's taxonomy places the organism in Eukaryota, Metazoa, Chordata, Mammalia, Carnivora, Herpestidae.
AAGGACACACAGAGACACACGGGGAGACGGGCACGUGACCACGGAGGCAGAGACUGAGGUCAAGAAUCCUUGGCUCCCUGCCUCAAGGAUGCCUUGGAAGGGCCUCCCCUGGGGGACCUGUGCCCUAAACUGUAUGCCUUGCACCCACUGCAAGUCCUGGUGCAGAACAGAUGCUCAGUAACCACUGACAAGCAAACAGCCUGCACCACGAGGGGCUGAGGAUGGCCUCCAGCAAAGUCAGCAGACCUUCAGUGCAAGAGCCUGUAAGUUACUGCAUCUUGCCAACAACAUGAGUGGUCGUGGAAGGGGGUCCUGCGUCGGUCGUGCCUCCCGAUGACCGAUGCCCAGUGGGCACCUGGAUUACAGACUUUGAGGGGCCUGCGGGGUAAUAAAUGUUGUGGUUUCAAAGCCACGAAGUUUUGGGGAUAGUUUGUUAGGCAGAAGGUAACUAGCUAAUGCAAUGCACAUACAUAAAGGAAAAACUAUCGACUGUAAUAAAUGUCCU